Molecule: unclassified non-coding RNA, 1331 nt
Filed under: Hevea brasiliensis (rubber tree)
Lineage: Eukaryota; Viridiplantae; Streptophyta; Magnoliopsida; Malpighiales; Euphorbiaceae
Source: RNAcentral
GUUUUUCGUUUUAGCGAUUUUAGUUUUAAAAUAAGUUUUGAGUAAACAAAGAUAAAUGUAAUCACAGUGAACCGAACACGUCUUCAUAUUUUUUUUUUUUAACUACAAAAAACAGAAAACGCCAAAGUUACUGAACAUGGCCUAAAGGAACAGCCAAGUAAAAAACACAAGGACAAUUAAACCAGCAACAGGAAAAUCAUUGCUGCACAUACCAACAACUGCAUUGCAACUCUCCUCUAUCACACACAACAUGCAGAUAAAAUACAUCAAAAUGCAACUGCCAAAACCUCAUUGAUAACCCAGCUACUUACCUAAAUUCCCCAUCUAACUUUGUAAAACUAGUUCAUAACUCAUCCUUCAAGCAUGGCCUUGGCAGCAUCAAUCAGCAUUGGCCUGAAAUCAUCAGAUGCUCGACCAAGCACAGUGUACCCUUCCUUGUCUUCCACAUCCACGUCUGCUCCAUGUCUUAUAAGAAGUAGAGCAACGUCUUUGUUAUGGUAAUCGACUGCAUUCAUAAGUGGAGUUUGACCAGCUUUAUCAAUAGCAUCAACCUCAGCUCCUUCCUCGAUUAAAAGUUCACACAAAUCUGACUUCCCUGUACUAGCUGCUCGGUGCAGUGCGGUACAACCAACCUGAACAUGAGUUUCAUAAGGAACAGCAUGAUUCUGAUAUCUGAGCUUAUUUAUCAGCACUACAUCGCACACAUCAAUGCAGUUUAGGUUGAAAUCCUUUUUGUUUUUUAUUUUGAGGAAAGGGAUGAAAUCAAGGUUACUAAUAUAAGAUAAAGAACAGUUGUGUGAAGUUACAAGCCUUGUCCUUCAGAUUAAUCUUAGCACCAUGUGAUAUCAGAAUUUCAGCAAUUUUCAACCAUCCCUUGCUGGCAGCAUAGUGAAGAGCAGUUCGACCACCAUCAUUUUUCAAAUUAACAUCAGCUCCUCUACUUAACAGAAUCUCCACAAUUUCCAGAUUCCCAAUACUGGCAGCAGAGUGCAGUGGUGCCCAACCUUCCUCAUCCUUGUUGUUUACCACACUUUUUGAUUCAUCCACACUGGAUAGUAUUUGCACCACCUCAGGGUGACCUGAAGAGGCAGCGACAUGGAGGAGGGAGCGGCCGUCAUCGUUUAGGAGAGAGAGAGCUUUAGAAAGAUGUUCCGAUGAAAGGGCUUUGAAUGUCGAAGAAUCGCCGGCCUCUGCAGCCUUGAAGAGGUCUUCAUCUUUGAUCUGGUGAUCUGGUUGCUCCAGGGGAUCGAUCUCCAUGGCAAAUUUUGGGGGUCACACACUGACGUAUGGCGUAUGAGGGGUUUUGAAGCAUGUUUGGAAGUAUUUGGAGG